UGGCCUGAAGCUCAACUGGUGAGAGCGUCGAUCUUAUAAGUCGAAGGAAGUGGGUUCAAGUCCCACCGGGCCGA
This 74-nucleotide transfer RNA is filed under the name Spirochaetes bacterium GWB1_59_5. RNAcentral describes it as "tRNA-Ile". It matches the Rfam family "tRNA". From Rfam's summary of the family: Transfer RNA (tRNA) molecules are approximately 80 nucleotides in length. Their secondary structure includes four short double-helical elements and three loops (D, anti-codon, and T loops). Lineage: Bacteria; Pseudomonadati; Spirochaetota. The record is from RNAcentral.